Molecule: long non-coding RNA, 3864 nt
Filed under: Aquilegia coerulea
Lineage: Eukaryota; Viridiplantae; Streptophyta; Magnoliopsida; Ranunculales; Ranunculaceae
Description: long non-coding RNA (ACOE_LNC001154)
Source: RNAcentral
UUGCAAUAAUAUUCAAAUCACCUCAUAAAUAUAUUAGUGUAGCCUUGUUCAAACUUAAGUAAAUCCACAACAAACUAAUAAAAUAAAGGUGUAAAUCUCUCUGUUUGUUUGGAGACGGAAAAACAAAAUAAAGAUACAAUUCUGAUGAAAAGAAAUAUAUUAUUACUACCUUCAUACAAUCUCGAAACAACAUCAGGCACUUCAUUUACAAGCACCAUUGACAUCAUCCAUACUUCAUUUACAAGCACCAUUGACAUCAUCCAUACUUACUGGCAUUUCUCCGAGUUUUAAAAGACACUUAACGUGUUUAUCUACGAGUUGGUUUUAAGAAAUACUAAGAUUGCAAAAUCUACAGCCAAACAUAAUCUGAAACAUGCUCCUCAGGUGAAUGGUUGAUAUCUCCACAACAUCAGGACCGGACAUUGUAUUUUUGCACCCUCCUACUUCCUCCCCAAAAUAGCAUGCGAGCUUCUAUCGAUCAAUUGUUAAUCAAAGACAUGAGGCGCAAACACUCCUCCUCCAAUAAUCGCCCCCGAAGACCAGAACAUUUUCCUAUCCUUUGUAGUCUUUCAAAAGUGAACAUGGGCCAAAUGCAAGAUCACACAACUUUCUAGUCCGCGACAAGGCAACAAAAGACGCACUCCAUUUCUGAAAGCCACCAUUUGACGAGAAACAAGUGUUGAACAGUCUCGAGUUCGGAACAAAUGCCAAUCGUUUAUAGUAGAUGUUCCAUCACUAUGUCUCAGUAAAGCUUCUCGAAAUGAUGCUUGUUCAUCUCCAGCUUGAGGAAAAAUCUGCGAUAAUCGAACACAUUUUUCAAAACCAGUAUAGGCAAGUCCACCACACUGUUGCAUAUAACCCCCAUUUCCAACAUACAAAGGACUAUCAAAUACAGGUCAAACACAUGUAAAAAAAAUAGAUUGUGAUUCCUUCAGAGACAAACAUAGGAUGCAUGAUCAUCAACAAAGUAUGAGAUUCCUUCACAGACAAACAAUCCAUAUCGCCCUUUCUUGAGACACAUAUAGCAGCACUAAGAGCACAUCUUUUAGAAACUGAACUUCUAUAAGUUGACGUGCAGAAAAUUAAGUUCUAUAAGUUCUAAACAAAAUUAUCUCAAAAUCUGAUUAAAAAAUAACUUCUAUAAGAGCACCAACUUGUUUUUAUGUUAGACCCACUUUGAGAUGAAGUAAGAAAAAUAAAAACAAAAAAUUCAGCUGUAUCACUCAAUUCAAAACCCACCUGUGUAUACUGUCUCAACAAGGACGAGGGAGUUUAGUUUCAGAAUAUGUAAGUUUAUAAGUGUUAUCGCCUGCAAGAAAUAUUGGUACAUGGUAAACUCAUUUCCGGAUGAAGGGGAAAAAAAUCACAAAAAUAGGUAUUUCCAAGGAGACAAUCACCUGUUUAUAAAGUGGCAACAGAGGUUGAGGGAGCCUAAUUGCAGAAUAUGCAAGUGUUUAAGUGUUGCAGCCAGAGAGCAUAUUGAACUAACUGCAAGAAAUAUUGGUUUAUGUCAAAUCCAUUUUCGGAUGAAGUAAGAAAGAAAAAAAUGCACAAAAAUUAUGUAUAACUAUAAAGACACGCACCUUUUAUAAAGUGGCAACGGAUCGGGGAGACAACGCCGAAGUUCAUCAUAUGUAAGCUUGUAAGUGAUUAUUGCCACAGAUCACGAGAAACAAAACUGCACCAGUUUUGGUAUAUGUUAGACCCACUUCGAGAUGAAGUAAAAAACAAAAACAUUAAAUUCAGCUCUACCAAGACGAUCUUAAAUUGACGUUCAUUAUAUUGACAUAUAUGAUCAGAUCUUGGACAAUUCCUGGAAACAAAGCAUGUACAAAUAUGCCCGAAAGUAAUAUAAUGCCAAAAAACCAAGUCUAGCAAUUACUUAUACUGAGCAGAAUUACUGUCAAGUCCUAAAAUAGCGCUCCAAUCAAAACCAUAGAAGUUCCAUAAACCCUGACAGGCUCAAAGUAUGCUACCUUAACGUUCUUAAUUGAGAGUAUGCUACCUUAAAACCAUAGAAGUUCACACGACGAAAUCAAUUAAAACCAUUUUAACUUAAUUGAGAGUAUGCUACCUUAACAUUCUUUCCUACUAUGUACUGUCUACUCUGGAUCACAGAGACCACUAGUGUUAUCUAAGUUGGCAAAUGAUAGCAUUUCCCUGUGGAUACAAACAUCUUGUGCAGGUCUGUGGAUACAAACAUCUUGUGCAGGUCUGCCUCAUGUGUGUUAUGAAUAUGGCAUAUGUACACAAUGUUGUAGAGAUAAGUGAGCUGAUUUAAAAUAUGUCGAGCAAUGGAAAAGUUUGUUUAAGCUGGUUUUGGGCUUAUAGAGUUAUUGAACAACAUUAGAUUGAGUAGUCGAAUGGAGUUUGAUAUAUACAAAAUCAGAGCUUGAAAAUUAUAUAGUAGGAUGCAAAUAGUUUAUGGUCAUUCUUCUGUGAGCCUAAGCAAUGGAAGAAUUGAAACAACUGCUCUUAACAUCAUGGGAGCUAAUUCUUAACAUUAUGUUUUAGGAAUAAUGCCCUAAUAAAGUGUGUGAAAAAUAUACGAAGACCACCGAUGUUUAAGAAGGCACACCACACACACACAAAGUUCACUAUCCAUGUAAACCAAACAAUGAAGGUUGAGAUGUGGGGACUUGGCAACAACUGAUUGGCCAUAUACCUCUUGUCUGGAACCUAUUUCAAUGUUAAAUACUACGGCAAACCUACUGUCAUGAUGGUCGAAGCUUGGGUCAGAUGGUUUUAAACAGGCUAUAUGGGAUGCUUUACCCUAUGCAAUUUGGUUACACAAUGCUGGAAUUUUUAGCAACAAGUACUCCCUAAAAAAAAAGAAAAAAAAAAAAAUUACAAACCACCAGCAAUACCAAAUGGAGGUUGUUACUUCUUAGUGUGUGUUGAUAGUUCAAGGAAAUUGACUUUAAUGAUUUAAUGUUCAUGUCAAGUUGAUUGAAUUUUAACUAUGAAAUCUGUUGUAAAAAAUGAUUAAAUAAAAAUGUUUUUCAUGCUCUCCGAAAUUUGUACGCAUUUGCAGGAAUUUUUAUUUUGAAUCUAUUACACUUCAAUUAAAUCUAUUGCCAACUUGGAACUAAAUCGCAGUUGAAGCAACCAAUCAACAGUAUCAAAGAAGCGAGAAUAAGGCCUGAGAAGAUAAAAACUUACCAGAUGAAUGGGAGAAGCUUGGCGACCCAAUUUCAUGAGAAAUUAGCAAGAACCCACCCCCCAACAUGCUUGAGAUGAGAAAUUGAGGCAGAAAUUCCCGAAGUGGAGCAUCAAUUUCCACCACCCACUAUGGUCAAGAGGCUUUGAGAUAUAAAAAGCUAAUUUGAAGCAGGAAUUUUGCGAGAACUCACCAGAACCAGGUAGUCAUCUUAGAGGAGAAUUUGAGAGAGAAGCUAAAUGUGGAGAGAAGAGAGCUUCAGAUGAGGAGAGACGAAGUUGCCCAAUGCGUUGUAGUGUGCGAGAUAAGAGAUUUGGAGAGAGCAUGAGAGAAGAUAACGAGAUUUUUGAGGAGGGAAGCAACGAGGUGUAGUUAUUGCAAGACAGACAGACAGACAAAUUUAAGACAAACCAUUUUUCAUACCCAACACAAUAGACCUCCCUACGGUCGGUCGGAUUAAGUUGAAUGGUUUAUGACUCAAAUCGUGUCAUUGUCUUCUCUUUGACAACAUUUAUAGUGCAAAACGCAGAAGAGGUUGAUGUAGCAUGUAAACAACAAAGAAGCAAACAAGAGGGAGAGAGGUGGUUGGGGACCGGAGUGUCUCUGUGUGUUGGGUGGGGGAUGGAGGGAGGGAUUGGGAUUUAUUCCACCUUUUAUCUAAACUACUUUAUCUGGCGCCCCCAUACCGAGGCGUUCAUGAGGCC